Nicotiana attenuata is the source of this 796-nucleotide long non-coding RNA. RefSeq lists it as uncharacterized. The transcript has 2 exons. The record is from RefSeq and is a predicted model, not a curated record. Lineage: Eukaryota; Viridiplantae; Streptophyta; Magnoliopsida; Solanales; Solanaceae.
UGAGAAUCACAAAUGUUGAGUGCGCGAGUAUUAUAAAAAAAAGCUGACAUGGACUAUUCCAACGGUAAUAAACCAAAUCCCAAGUUAUUUUAACCCCUUUCUCCAUUGUUCUCUUCUCCCAAGCCCUAAAUUUUCACCAUUUCAACUGAGCUAAAUUCUUCAUCAUAGUGAAAAUCGGAGCUUUUUUUUUUUUUCUCAAUUUGAAAGAACUCCAUCCUCCUUAGUCAAAUUCUUUCCGUAAUCUUUCCUGCUAUCUUCUCUUAAUUUCGGGUUGAACAAUGUCCCAAAACACCGAAAAGGUUAACUCUUGUUGAUGUGGUCAUCCGUGUAAACUAAAAAUUUCAUGGAGUCCAGCUAACCCAGGAAGAAGGACAAUGGUGAAUGUAAAUAUUUUAGAUGGUUUGAGGACGAGUUUCCUGAGCAAGAGAAUAGAGUUAUUUGGGGUUUGUUGAAGAGAGUGAAGGCCUUUGAUCAAGAAAGAGAACGAGCAAAAAAAUGGAGGAACGCACUAGUGUUUGUUGUCUACUGAUGGCCUUAAUCAUUUGGCUUUAUUGUGGUUCUUGCUCUUGUUGAUGGGAACUGUUCUAUUCGGCUUUGGUCUUUUAUGAACUUUUGGGAAAAUUAUUUGUAAUUUAGGCUAGCUAAUGUAGUUAGUGUCUUGUGUUGCUUCUGUUUUGUUUAUUGUUGCUGCACUUCGGAUGGUUGGGAUCCUAUUUUGUGCAAUUGAUAUUGUCUUAUUAAUGCAAUGUAUCUUUGUUUUUAUUAAAAAAAAUUGCAAUUCUUUAGUGUUUACUGU